RNAcentral lists this ribosomal RNA (704 nucleotides) under uncultured bacterium. RNAcentral's name for it is "bacterial SSU rRNA". It matches the Rfam family "Bacterial small subunit ribosomal RNA", at positions 159 to 859 of the family's 1533-position model. The record is from RNAcentral.
UGUGCUAAUACCGCAUACGAUCUAUGGAUGAAAGCGGGGGAUCGCAAGACCUCGCGCGAUUGGAGCGGCCGAUAUCAGAUUAGGUAGUUGGUAGGGUAAAAGCCUACCAAGCCAACGAUCUGUAGCUGGUCUGAGAGGACGACCAGCCACACUGGAACUGAGACACGGUCCAGACUCCUACGGGAGGCAGCAGUGGGGAAUUUUGGACAAUGGGCGCAAGCCUGAUCCAGCAAUGCCGCGUGCAGGAUGAAGGCCUUCGGGUUGUAAACUGCUUUUGUACGGAACGAAAAAGUCUGCCCUAAUACGGCGGGCCCAUGACGGUACCGUAAGAAUAAGCACCGGCUAACUACGUGCCAGCAGCCGCGGUAAUACGUAGGGUGCGAGCGUUAAUCGGAAUUACUGGGCGUAAAGCGUGCGCAGGCGGUUAUAUAAGUCAGAUGUGAAAUCCCCGGGCUUAACCUGGGACCUGCAUUUGAGACUGUAUAGCUAGAGUACGGUAGAGGGGGAUGGAAUUCCGCGUGUAGCAGUGAAAUGCGUAGAUAUGCGGAGGAACACCGAUGGCGAAGGCAAUCCCCUGGACCUGUACUGACGCUCAUGCACGAAAGCGUGGGGAGCAAACAGGAUUAGAUACCCUGGUAGUCCACGCCCUAAACGAUGUCAACUGGUUGUUGGGAAUUCACUUUCUCAGUAACGAAGCCAACGCG